Molecule: small RNA, 162 nt
Filed under: Mus spicilegus (steppe mouse)
Lineage: Eukaryota; Metazoa; Chordata; Mammalia; Rodentia; Muridae
Description: 7SK RNA (ENSMSIG00000029814.1)
Source: RNAcentral
CUUCUAAAGAAUCUUCAUGCUCUGUUGAAGAGGAUGACUUUUCCAGACUAAUAGAGGACCUCUCUGCAGUAAAGGGUACAGGAGCAGCUCAGCUCCCCUAGUAGAAUUUCUAAAAGUACUCGCUAGGUCCAAACUAUACUUUAAAUCAAUUGGUAUUUAAGG